CCUCCGAAACGGCAACCUCGGAGCGAUCCGAAGGGCGCAAAGUUUCAGGGCCAGGCGUAACGCCGGGUCGGCUGGACUGCCGAA
Non-coding RNA from Armatimonadetes bacterium RBG_16_67_12, 84 nucleotides. Lineage: Bacteria; Bacillati; Armatimonadota. The record is from Rfam.